GACAGAGGGUGCAAACGUUGUUCGGAUUUACUGGGCGUAAAGCGCGUGUAGGCGGCUUUGCAAGUCGGAUGUGAAAGCCCACGGCUCAACCGUGGAAGUGCAUCCGAAACUGCAUGGCUUGAGUCUCGGAAAGGAAGGUGGAAUGCUUGGUGUAGAGGUGAAAUUCGUAGAUAUCAAGCAGAACACCUGCGGCGAAGGCGGCCUUCUGGACGAUGACUGACGCUGAGACGCGAAAGCGUGGGGAGCAAACAGG
Molecule: ribosomal RNA, 253 nt
Filed under: uncultured bacterium
Lineage: Bacteria
Description: partial 16S ribosomal RNA
Rfam family: Bacterial small subunit ribosomal RNA
Source: RNAcentral